AGAGUUUGAUCAUGGCUCAGGAUGAACGUUGGCGGUGUGCCUAAUACAUGCAAGUCGAACGGUGAUAUUUUUGUAGUAAUACGAAUUUAUCAUAGUGGCGAACGGGUGAGUAACGCGUUGGUGAUCUGCCUCGAAGUGUGGAAUAACGUCCCGAAAGGAACGCUAAUACCGCAUGUGCUCUCGAUUUUUAGAAAGUUGAGAGUAAAGGAUUUAUUCGCUUCGAGAGGAGCCUGCGUCCCAUCAGCUAGUUGGUAAGGUAAUGGCCUACCAAGGCAAUGACGGGUAGGGGACCUGAGAGGGUGGCCCCCCACAAUGGAACUGAAACACGGUCCAUACACCUACGGGUGGCAGCAGUAGGGAAUAUUAGAAAUGGACGAAAGUCUGAUCUAGCGACACCGCGUGUGCGAUGAAGGCCUUCGGGUUGUAAAGCACUUUUUGGAAGGAAUAGGAAGGAAGGUACUUCCAGAAUAAGUCUCGGCUAACUACGUGCCAGCAGCCGCGGUAACACGUAGGAGGCAAACGUUAUCCGGAUUUACUGGGCGUAAAGCGCGUGUAGGUGGUUCUGUAAGUAGGGCGUGAAAGCUCCCGGCUCAACUGGGAGAGGC
Molecule: ribosomal RNA, 605 nt
Filed under: uncultured Bellilinea sp.
Lineage: Bacteria; Bacillati; Chloroflexota; Anaerolineae; Anaerolineales; Anaerolineaceae
Description: bacterial SSU rRNA
Rfam family: Bacterial small subunit ribosomal RNA
Source: RNAcentral